This 221-nucleotide ribosomal RNA is filed under the name uncultured soil bacterium. RNAcentral's name for it is "partial 16S ribosomal RNA". It matches the Rfam family "Bacterial small subunit ribosomal RNA", at positions 26 to 250 of the family's 1533-position model. The record is from RNAcentral.
AGGACGAACGCUGGCGGCGUGCUUAACACAUGCAAGUCGAGCGGAAAGGCCACUUCGGUGGUACUCGAGCGGCGAACGGGUGAGUAGCACGUGAGUAAUCUGCCCCUGGCUUUGGGAUAGCCACCGGAAACGGUGAUUAAUACCGGAUAUGACUGCUCCUCGCAUGAGGUGGUGGUGGAAAGUUUUUCGGCCAGGAUGUGCUCGCGGCCUAUCAGCUUGAU